Long non-coding RNA from Heterocephalus glaber (naked mole-rat), 2029 nucleotides. The record is from Ensembl. Lineage: Eukaryota; Metazoa; Chordata; Mammalia; Rodentia; Bathyergidae.
CAGGGACUGAGAUUGGCUGGAAAGGAGAGGAUGGGCGAGGAGAGGAUGGGAGAGGAAAGGAGAGGAGAAGAAAGAGGAGAGGAGCGGAAAUCUGAACACAGGUCACAUCUAGACAGCGUGCAAGUCAGAGGUAAAGCUAGAAAAAAAUGACAGGAGGAAAGAAUAAAGACAAAUGGGUGAUUGGGACCCAGAUGGGGAAAUGACCAACUGUUUGGUAAGGAUAGGCAAUGUGCAUAAAAAAGAUGGUUUCCCUGUGUGACUAAGAGGAUAGGGAUUAAAGAGAUAAGAGUGAAAGGGAAAGGAGGGAAAGAGGAAAGAGAAGGAGACAAAGUAAUCAGCACACAAGCGCAGAUCUAAAUGCUUAGAAAAUCACCAGGCUGAGCCAGAAGAGCCACAGCCAUACCCAAGAGGGGACCAUCAGAAAGACAGAAGCAGGCAAUUUAAGCAGCUAGCCACUGGGGUAGAAAAAAAAAUGAAAAGAAAAAAUAGAAGAUGGAAAAGCUGCUGUUUCCUUGGGAGGAUUCUGACAGGAUGGCAUAGAAAUUCAAGCCAACACCGCCAGCCCUGGAAAUAAAUAAAUAACACUCUACUAAACAUGUCAAUGGGGACAGAAGCCUGCGGGAAGAAAGCCCACAGAGAAGGAGGGACCUGCCUGCGACUCUCCCCAGGCCUGGACGAGGGACAGUGGACUCUCCAAAGUAUCUGCUCUCGAGGCUGCAUCACCUCACGAGGGAACUGCCCCCUGCUCUGGCUGGUCAAACGGAACCAAGUCCGUCUUCCUGAGAGGUUUGGUCCCCUUCAACCAGCUACAGCAGGGCUGGCAAUGCCCAGUCCUUCGAGAAACAGAAGAGACUCACCUGUGGCUGAAAUUACCUGCUAAAACUUUUCAUGUAAAAACAACUCUCAUUUGGUCAUCAUAUCUGCAUGCUCCCAAGGAAGGCAGAAAAGAGAAGCCCUAGGUUCAAAUGAGAGCAAGGUGCUCAACACACAGAUCUUUUGCACCCACAAGCAGAGCCACACGUGAACUUGACACACACAGUGAGUAAUGGCUUUCACGAUGGAGUUUGUGCAGGCCUGGCCAGCCAGGGGAAGACACUCAGACAUCGAAGGCAGGGCUGUCAGUGACCUAGGUAAAGAAAUUGACUUUAACUAUGGCACAAUUCAAUGUAACUGCAAGUCAGAAUAUGGCUAGUUCCAAGACGUGAUUCUUAAAUAGCGCACCAAGUACACCUAGGACAUAUUUGUUUCAGUUAACUUCAAAUAACCCUUUGUUUUCUCAUCUGUAAAAUAGGGACAAUGACACCUACUUCAAAGUAGCUAUAAGAUUUUUUAAAAGCUAAGAGUCAAAUAUAAGCCCUCAAGAAAUGGCAGCUGCUGUCAUUGUGCUGUUGUAAAUGGCAGUAACAUGAGGACAAGGCUUUGUCCAGGGGUAUUCAUAUCUGGAAGGGGAAGGCCAAAUUUUUUAAAAAUAGAAGUACUCAAAAAAAUAAAACUUUAUUUUAGGUUAUUUUUAUUCCAACCAUUAAUUCUACUAGCAUGCAAAAUGUGUUCCUCCUAGUCUGUCCUAUUAGAAUAUAACAAGUUUUACUAAGACCGGCUGCAUACAUGAGACGGCCAUUGCUAUCUGAAAUAUCUGAUCUGAGAAGCCUUCUUUAAUAAGUGCUCUUAUGAUCUAGUCCAUAACCACACCUCCUCCUGUAUUAGAAAGCCAUGGAGUAUGUGCCCUGUAGUCAAUCCAGAGUGGAGGUUAGAUGUGUGUGCUGGAACUAGACUGCCUGGGCUCAAAUCCCUAUUUACCAGCUGUGCUACCUUGGGCAAGUUGCUUGACCUCUCUGGACCUGUGCUUUCUCAUCAGCAAAGUGGGAACACUGAUAACAGUAUCUACCUUGUAGGGUAUUCAUGGAAAUGAAAUGAAAAUACAUGUAAAGGCCUAAAACUAGUAUUGGGUACACAAUAAGUUCUCGAGAGGUUUUAUCUUUGGCAAUGUUCCUGAAGCUAAAUUGAUGUUCAAUAAAAACUUCUUAAUAAA